CCGGAGAGAGAGAGGGGACGCAAUCUGGUAAUGGAGUUUCUGCUGGAUGAGAUGGUGACGGUGGUGGGAGAUCCAUUUUCUCAGCAUAUGAAGGAAUCCAGAAAUGGACCAGGCAAAAGGAAGAAAAGAUGGCCUUUGACAGAAUAUUUUUUGAGGGCCAGAGGAUUAAAAUUUUCGAGUAUUCCUCAAGGAUCUUUUCCUUUUUAUUCCGUCUUCAAAACCAAUCAUUAACAUACGAGGAGUUGAGUUUUGCUUAGAUAUGGAUGCCACGUGGACCAACAACAGCUCUCCACGUCAGGUUUCACAGCCCCCCUCUCUUUCUCGAGAAAAUCCCUCCCGAGAACAACAAGUUAGUGAGGAAGGCACGCGGUUGGUUCUAUGCGGUGACACUUGAGUGUCUCAGUCCCCGCCGACGUUUCCUUCGAUCAGUGGACCCUUCUUGUGAUUUGUUGACACUUUUGAACAGGAUGGUUCGUCGGGCCUUCGCCCCGACUACAUCCACUCUAGGCCCGGGACUAGCCUUUGUAUAUUAAUCAUUUUAGUCAAGAAAUUACAUCACUCUCUACCAGUGAAAUCGAACCCAGGACCUUGAGGAUGAUUUUG
This is a long non-coding RNA of Tarenaya hassleriana, 603 nucleotides long. RefSeq lists it as uncharacterized. The record is from RefSeq and is a predicted model, not a curated record. The transcript has 5 exons. Lineage: Eukaryota; Viridiplantae; Streptophyta; Magnoliopsida; Brassicales; Cleomaceae.